This 82-nucleotide transfer RNA is filed under the name Cytophagaceae bacterium. RNAcentral's name for it is "tRNA-Leu". It matches the Rfam family "tRNA". Rfam says of the family: Transfer RNA (tRNA) molecules are approximately 80 nucleotides in length. Their secondary structure includes four short double-helical elements and three loops (D, anti-codon, and T loops). RNAcentral also lists the same sequence under 1 other name. Lineage: Bacteria; Pseudomonadati; Bacteroidota; Cytophagia; Cytophagales; Cytophagaceae. The record is from RNAcentral.
GCGGAUGUGGCGAAAUUGGUAGACGCACUAGACUUAGGAUCUAGCGGGGCGACCCAUGGGAGUUCGAGUCUCUUCAUCCGCA